This 501-nucleotide ribosomal RNA is filed under the name uncultured bacterium. Its description in RNAcentral is "partial 16S ribosomal RNA". It matches the Rfam family "Bacterial small subunit ribosomal RNA", at positions 30 to 523 of the family's 1533-position model. The record is from RNAcentral.
AUUGAACGCUGGCGGCAGGCUUAACACAUGCAAGUCGAGCGGAGAGAGGUAGCUUGCUACUGAUCUUAGCGGCGGACGGGUGUGUAAUGCUUAGGAAUCUGCCUAUUAGUGGGGGACAACAUUUCGAAAGGAAUGCUAAUACCGCAUACGUCCUACGGGAGAAAGCAGGGGAUCUUCGGACCUUGCGCUAAUAGAUGGGCCUAAGUCGGAUUAGCUAGUUGGUGGGGUAAAGGCCUACCAAGGCGACGAUCUGUAGCGGGUCUGAGAGGAUGAUCCGCCACACUGGGACUGAGACACGGCGCAGACUCCUACGGGAGGCAGCAGUGGGGAAUAUUGGACAAUGGGCGGAAGCCUGAUCCAGCCAUGCCGCGUGUGUGAAGAAGGCCUUAUGGUUGUAAAGCACUUUAAGCGAGGAGGAGGCUACUUUAGUUAAUACCUAGAGAUAGUGGACGUUACUCGCAGAAUAAGCACCGGCUAACUCUGUGCCAGCAGCCGCGGUAA